GGGUGCGGCCGGAGCGGCUCCCGGUGUUUGACGAGGAGUGCUGGCAGCUGAUGGAGGCGUGCUGGGACGGGGACUCCUCGCAGCGGCCCCUGCUGGGGAUCGUGCAGCCCAUGCUGCAGGGAAUCAUGGACAGGCUCUGCCGGCCGCCCCCCGAGCACCCCCACAAGGGCCUGGAUGACUCCACCUGAGCGGGAACCGGCGCAGGAUUGCGGGAAUUGAGGCGGGAAUUGGGCAAUUCCAGCCCCGGCCCUGCUGCGGAGCUGCGGGGACAGGGAGGGGCUCCGGGGGGGACGGCUCCAUCCCUAUGGAAUUGUGUGGGACAGGGGGGUGACAGCUCCAUCCCAAUCCCACCCUAUGGAAUUGUUUGGGAUGGGGAGGGGCUCCGGGGGGCACAGCUCCAUCCCUAUGGAAUUGUUUGGGAUGGGGAUAACAGCUCCAUCCCAGUCUUGUUAUCCCUAUGGAAUUGUGUGGGACGGGGAGGGGCUCCAGGGGGGACAGCUCCAUCCCAAUCCUAGCCUGUUAUCCCUAUGGAAUUGCUUGGGACAGGGGGUGACAGCUCCAUCCCAGUCCCACCCUAUGGAAUUGUUUGGGAUGGGGAUAACGGCUCCAUCCCGAUCCCGGUAUCCCUAUGGAAUUGUUUGGGAUGGGGAUAACAGCUCCAUCCCAAUCUUGGUAUCCCUAUGGAAUUGUGUGGGACAGGAGGUGACAGCUCCAUCCCAAUCCUGGUAUCCCUAUGGAAUUGUUUGGGAUGGGGAGGGGCUCCAGGGGGGACAGCUCCAUCCCUAUGGAAUUGUGUGGGGCAGGGGGGUGACAGCUCCAUCCCGGUCCUGGUAUCCCUAUGGAAUUGUUUGGGAUGGGGAUAACAGCUCCAUCCCAAUCUUGGUAUCCCUAUGGAAUUGUGUGGGACAGGGGGGUGACAGCUCCAUCCCAAUCCCACCCUAUAGAAUUGUUUGGGAUGGGGAUAACAGCUCCAUCCCAAUGCCACCCUAUGGAAUUGUGUGGGAUGGGGGACUGGGUGACAGCUCUGUCCCAAUCCUAGCCUGUUCUCCCUAUGGAAUUAUUUGGGACAGGGGGGGACUCAUGGGGAUAACAGCUCCAUCCCAAUCCUUUUAUCCCUAUGGAAUUCUGUAGGACAGGGGGUGACAGCUCCAUCCCAAUCCCACCCUGUUAUCCCUAUGGAAUUCUGUGGGACAGGGGGUGACAGCUCCAUCCCAAUCCCACCCUGUUAUCCCUAUGGNAUGUGAGCAGAGCAUUCUCUUUAAAUUCCUGAUAUUCCUGGUGAUUCCCUGUGCCACCCAACUGCUCUACCUGCUUUCCUUGGAAAUUCCUGGCAUUCCUGGUGAUCCUGAUGUGCCAUCCAACCCCAUUCACCUGCUUUCCCUAGAAAUUCCUGGUGAUCUCUCUGUGCCACCCAACCCCUCAAUGUGCUUUCCCUGGAUAUGGUCAGGGCAUUCCCUGGAAAUUCCAGGUGAUAUCUCUGUGACACCCAAACCCUUCACCUGCGUUCCCUAGAAAUUCCUGGUGAUCCUGCUGUGCCACCCAACCUCUCCACCUGCUUUCCCUGGAUGUGAGCAGGGCUUUCCUUGGAAAUUCCUGAUAUUCCUGGUGAUCCCUCUGGGCCACCCAACCCCUCCACCUGCUUUCCCUGGAAAUUCCUGGUGAUCCCCUGUGGAUCCUCUGUGGAUUCCUGGUGAUCUCCCUGUGCCACCCAACCAAUGUGAGCAGGGUUUUCCCUGGAAAUCCCUGGUAUUCCUGGUGAUCCCUCUGUGCCACCCAACCUCUCCACCUGCUUUCUUUGGAUGUGAGCAGAGCAUUCCCUGGAAAUUCCAGGUGAUAUCUCUGUGACACCCAAACCCUUCACCUGCUUUCCCUAGAAAUUCCUGGUGAUCCUGCUGUGCCACCCAACCUCUCCACCUGCUUUCCCUGGAUGUGAGCAGAGCAUUCUCUUUAAAUUCCUGAUAUUCCUGGUGAUUCCCUGUGCCACCCAGCUGCUCUACCUGCUUUCCUUGGAAAUUCCUGGCAUUCCUGGUGAUCCUGAUGUGCCAGCCAACCCCUCCACCUGCUUUCCUUGGAAAUUCCUGGUGAUCCCCUGUGCCACCCAACCUCUCCACCUGCUUUCCCUGGAUAUGGGCACCAUUUCCCUGUA
RNAcentral lists this long non-coding RNA (2146 nucleotides) under Zonotrichia albicollis (white-throated sparrow). Its description in RNAcentral is "lncRNA (ENSZALG00000001386.1)". Lineage: Eukaryota; Metazoa; Chordata; Aves; Passeriformes; Passerellidae. The record is from RNAcentral.